UCUCUCUCUCUCUCUCUCUCUCUCUCUCUCUCUAUCUUCUUCUUCUUCUUCUUCACACGGACACAUACCUUAAAAGAGUGUGAAUGGCGAGGAUCGGUGUACGAGUUCUUGAAGCGGUGCUGACUCGCCGGUAAUCGGAUCGCUCCAGAUUGUUCAGGUCUAUAAGGCGUCAUGCGACUCCUCUUCAUCUCUUGACGUACUCAUCAUGAUCUGAGAGCGCGACGUUGAAAUAGAAUGACUCGUUGUGCUCAACGAACUGGAGGCCAACGAAGGCGUGCUUGCCGGUGCCGUCCUUGAUCUUAAGGACGAAGAAGCGUGACAAGCUGAGCAUGGUCUCGACGGAGGUCGUUGGAGUUUGGAUCCUCUGGUCGGAUCUCGCGCUGGUCCUUGCAUGACACUACCCAGAGCUGACUCAUCCAGAUCUUGUCGGACUUGAGCCACUCGCCGCAAUUGUACCUGCCGGAUGUCGACUGCAGUGGGGUUUUGUAGACCGCGACCUCGCACACCAGCAGCAGCUUCAGAAUCCUCAUCGUCGCCGUGAUCCAUCUCCCUCGUCACUUCAUUGAAUGCCCGGUCGCGAGCAAUGCUUAUGCACAAACUGGAUCGCAGUGGCAGUGGAUCAAGUUGCCUCAGACCUAUGAGACUAAAUUCCCUGAGAGCUGGUAGGAUUAUGCACAUUGGGAAUGUGAAGGAGGCAACUGGUAUGCCUGUUAGUUCCAAUUUUCAGAUGAUGGAGUAUUUAAUUGUCCUCGUGGCUUUGUGUAACAAGAAAGAAUGUCAUGUUGAGAUGAGAAAGUUGCAUGUACAUCACUUGGAAUUUUUCAGUCAAUAUAAUGUGAAAUUACAAAUACUGUUUAUAGACUA
Rosa chinensis is the source of this 864-nucleotide long non-coding RNA. RefSeq lists it as uncharacterized. The transcript is spliced from 3 exons. Lineage: Eukaryota; Viridiplantae; Streptophyta; Magnoliopsida; Rosales; Rosaceae. The record is from RefSeq and is a predicted model, not a curated record.